Molecule: ribosomal RNA, 913 nt
Filed under: uncultured archaeon
Lineage: Archaea
Description: bacterial SSU rRNA
Rfam family: Archaeal small subunit ribosomal RNA
Source: RNAcentral
UUCCGGUUGAUCCCGCCGGACCCGACUGCUAUCAGAAUAGGACUAAGCCAUGCGAGUCAACGUAGCAAUACGUGGCAUACGGCUCAGUAACACGUAGUCAACAUGCCCAGGGGACGUGGAUAACCUCGGGAAACUGAGGAUAAACCACGAUAGGCCAUGAUGUCUGGAAUGACUUAUGGCUCAAAUCUACAUGGCCCCUGGAUUGGACUGCGGCCGAUCAGGCUGUUGGUGAGGUAAUGGCCCACCAAACCUAAAACCGGUACGGGCUCUGAGAGGAGAAGCCCGGAGAUGGGCACUGAGACAAGGGCCCAGGCCCUAUGGGGCGCAGCAGGCGCGAAACCUCUGCAAUAGGCGAAAGCCUGACAGGGUUACUCUGAGUGAUUCCCGCUAAGGGAAUCUUUUGGCAUCUCUAAAAAUGGUGCAGAAUAAGGGGUGGGCAAGUCUGGUGUCAGCCGCCGCGGUAAUACCAGCACCCCGAGUGGUCGGGACGAUUAUUGGGCCUAAAGCAUCCGUAGCCGGUCUUGCAAGUCUUCCGUUAAAUCCAGCUGCUUAACAGAUGGGCUGCGGAGGAUACUACAAGGCUAGGAGGCGGGAGAGGCAAGCGGUACUCAGUGGGUAGGGGUAAAAUCCUCUGAUCCAUUGAAGACCACCAGUGGCGAAGGCGGCUUGCCAGAACGCGCUCGACGGUGAGGGAUGAAAGCUGGGGGAGCAAACCGGAUUAGAUACCCGGGUAGUCCCAGCUGUAAACGAUGCAGACUCGGUGAUGGGCCGGCUUUAUGCCGGCUCASUGCCGCAGGGAAGCCGUUAAGUCUGCCGCCUGGGGAGUACGGUCKCAAGACUGAAACUUWAAGGAAUUGGCGGGGGAGCACCACAAGGGGUGAAGCCUGCGGUUCAAUCUGGAAUUCAACGCCGG